GUGUCAGCAGCCGCGGUAAUACGGAGGGUGCAAGCGUUACUCGGAAUCACUGGGCGUAAAGGGUGCGUAGGCUGGCUUCUAAGUCAGAUGUGAAAUCCAAUGGCUUAACCAUUGAACUGCAUUUGAAACUGGGAGCCUAGAGUUCAGAAGGGGCAGAUGGAAUUAGUGGUGUAGGGGUAAAAUCCGUAGAUAUCACUAGGAAUAUCAAAAGCGAAGGCGAUCUGCUGGGAUGAUACUGACGCUGAGGCACGAAAGCGUGGGGAGCAAACAGGAUUAGAUACCCCUGUAGUCC
RNAcentral lists this ribosomal RNA (292 nucleotides) under uncultured bacterium. Its description in RNAcentral is "partial 16S ribosomal RNA". It matches the Rfam family "Bacterial small subunit ribosomal RNA", at positions 505 to 796 of the family's 1533-position model. The record is from RNAcentral.